This 455-nucleotide ribosomal RNA is filed under the name uncultured bacterium. Its description in RNAcentral is "bacterial SSU rRNA". It matches the Rfam family "Bacterial small subunit ribosomal RNA", at positions 340 to 786 of the family's 1533-position model. The record is from RNAcentral.
UACGGGAGGCAGCAGUGGGGAAUAUUGCACAAUGGGCGCAAGCCUGAUGCAGCCAUGCCGCGUGUAUGAAGAAGGCCUUCGGGUUGUAAAGUACUUUCAGUCGUGAGGAAGGUGUUAAGGUUAAUAACCUUAGCAAUUGACGUUAGCGACAGAAGAAGCACCGGCUAACUCCGUGCCAGCAGCCGCGGUAAUACGGAGGGUGCGAGCGUUAAUCGGAAUUACUGGGCGUAAAGGGCACGCAGGCGGUUAAUUAAGUUGGAUGUGAAAUCCCCGGGCUUAACCUGGGAAUGGCAUUCAAGACUGGUUAGCUAGAGUCUUGUAGAGGGGGUUAGAAUUCCAUGUGUAGCGGUGAAAUGCGUAGAGAUGUGGAGGAAUACCGGUGGCGAAGGCGGCCCCUGGGACAAAGGCUGACGCUCAUGUGCGAAAGCGUGGGGAGCAAACAGGGAUUAGAUACC